GACGAACGCUGGCGGCGUGCUUAACACAUGCAAGUCGAACGAAGAGCGAUGGAAGCUUGCUUCUAUCGAUCUUAGUGGCGAACGGGUGAGUAACGCGUAAUCAACCUGCCCUUCAGAGGGGGACAACAGUUGGAAACGACUGCUAAUACCGCAUACGAUCUAAUCUCGGCAUCGAGGAAAGAUGAAAGGUGGCCUCUAUUUAUAAGCUAUCACUGAAGGAGGGGAUUGCGUCUGAUUAGCUAGUUGGAGGGGUAACGGCCCACCAAGGCGAUGAUCAGUAGCCGGUCUGAGAGGAUGAACGGCCACAUUGGGACUGAGACACGGCCCAGACUCCUACGGGAGGCAGCAGUGGGGAAUCUUCCGCAAUGGACGAAAGUCUGACGGAGCAACGCCGCGUGAGUGAUGACGGCCUUCGGGUUGUAAAGCUCUGUUAAUCGGGACGAAAGGCCUUCUUGCGAACAGUUAGAAGGAUUGACGGUACCGGAAUAGAAAGCCACGGCUAACUACGUG
Molecule: ribosomal RNA, 510 nt
Filed under: uncultured bacterium
Lineage: Bacteria
Description: partial 16S ribosomal RNA
Rfam family: Bacterial small subunit ribosomal RNA
Source: RNAcentral